This 253-nucleotide ribosomal RNA is filed under the name uncultured bacterium. Its description in RNAcentral is "partial 16S ribosomal RNA". It matches the Rfam family "Bacterial small subunit ribosomal RNA", at positions 524 to 776 of the family's 1533-position model. The record is from RNAcentral.
UACGUAGGGUCCGAGCGUUGUCCGGAAUUACUGGGCGUAAAGAGCUCGUAGGUGGUUUGUCGCGUUGUUCGUGAAAACUCACAGCUCAACUGUGGGCGUGCGGGCGAUACGGGCAGACUUGAGUACUGCAGGGGAGACUGGAAUUCCUGGUGUAGCGGUGAAAUGCGCAGAUAUCAGGAGGAACACCGGUGGCGAAGGCGGGUCUCUGGGCCGAAACUGACGCUGAGGAGCGAAAGCGUGGGGAGCAAACAGG